UGAGGAAUAUUGGUCAAUGGGCGGGAGCCUGAACCAGCCAAGCCGCGUGACGGAAGAAGGCGCUAAGCGUCGUAAACGUCUUUUGCCGGGGAACAAAGGCGCGGACGCGUCCGCGUGUGAGUGUACCCGGAGAAAAGCAUCGGCUAACUCCGUGCCAGCAGCCGCGGUAAUACGGAGGAUGCGAGCGUUAUCCGGAUUUAUUGGGUUUAAAGGGUGCGUAGGCGGCCCGUUAAGUCAGCGGUAAAAGCCCGGGGCUCAACCCCGGCGAGCCGUUGAAACUGGGGGCUAGAGACGGCGAGAAGUACGCGGAAUGCGCGGUGUAGCGGUGAAAUGCAUAGAUAUCGCGCAGAACUCCGAUUGCGAAGGCAGCUGACUGUAUCGUAACUGACGCUGAAGCUCGAAAGUGUGGGUAUCGAACAGGAUUAGAUACC
This 431-nucleotide ribosomal RNA is filed under the name uncultured bacterium. Its description in RNAcentral is "bacterial SSU rRNA". It matches the Rfam family "Bacterial small subunit ribosomal RNA", at positions 355 to 786 of the family's 1533-position model. The record is from RNAcentral.